This 253-nucleotide ribosomal RNA is filed under the name uncultured bacterium. RNAcentral's name for it is "partial 16S ribosomal RNA". It matches the Rfam family "Bacterial small subunit ribosomal RNA", at positions 524 to 776 of the family's 1533-position model. The record is from RNAcentral.
UACGAAGGGGGCUAGCGUUGCUCGGAAUCACUGGGCGUAAAGGGUGCGUAGGCGGGUCUUUAAGUCAGGGGUGAAAUCCUGGAGCUCAACUCCAGAACUGCCUUUGAUACUGGAGAGCUUGAGUCCGGAAGAGGUGAGUGGAACUCCGAGUGUAGAGGUGAAAUUCGUAGAUAUUCGGAAGAACACCAGUGGCGAAGGCGGCUCACUGGUCCGGUACCGACGCUGAUGUGCGAAAGCGUGGGGAGCAAACAGG